AUGACCAACUUCGAACAAACACAUGAUACUGAUUCCAGUAAUGGAGCAAAAUGGGUUUGUAAUGUGGAGGAGGAACUGGAUAACUCUGCAGUUCCUCAAAACUCACUACAGUCUGAAACCCUCUUUAUCAAAACGGGCUGUGAGCUGGACAGUGAGCUAACCAUUGAUUUGAAUUAUGAACAAACCACCAAUUCAUCAUUUGAUCCAUAUGGUUUUAAACUCAGUCCAGAACAUUCUCAUCACACACUCUUAGAUCCCGAUGAAGAAGAACUCAUCCCACAAUUUUCUGGGAAUGAGAUAGUCUUUGUUUCAGAACCUUCUCCCUCUCAACCAGAUGCAGAUGAUUUUUCAUAUUCUCCACAUCCAUAUGUGUUUGAUACCACCUCCACAGAGAUGACUCAAGACUCUGACCCUUAUGGCUUUAAGCUUAGCCCUGAGCCAGAAAAUCAAGAGGAUCUGGAACUGUAUGGACACAAUGACCUGGAAAAAAUGGAUAUUUGCACCUUUGACAGAGUACUGGAAGUACUAGAAGCUCAAAACCCUAAAGAUCAACACAUGAAUGAAAAUUGUAGCCAAAGUGAUCAGGAAUUGCUGGAUUUGUUUGGCAACGGAAAUCGGGAAGUUAUGGCAAGUUCGGACAAUGUAGAAUUAAUCUAUGAAAACCAAGAGAUAUUAGAUCUCUGCAGUUAUGACAACCCGGAGGUGGUGGGACCUUAUGAUAAUAAUACGAUUGAUAAACUAACUGAACCCGGUAACUGCUCUCCUGAAAAUCAGGAAGUGCUCGAUUUAGAUAGCCACAUUAAUAGCGAAUUUCAGGAUUUCAGCAUCGCUGAAAAUCCAGAAGUUCUCAUUUCACAUAGUGACAGCAACCGAGAAGUCUGUGAAAAUUAUAAGGAAGUCUUGAGUUUGGGACACCAUGACAACCAGGAAGUUCUGGAAUUCGUGAGUAAAGACAUUUUUCCUGAAGCAAAUAAUAACCAAUGUGUUGUGGAAUCAAAGGUUAGUGUCAGUUCCACCAGUAAUAGCUCAGACAGUGAAGUGGAUUCAAAGGACCAUCUGGGACUUGGACUUGAUAGCAGUAUCUGCAACUCUAACAGGGCAAACACCAAUACUGCUGACAGCAUCCACAUGGAUGUCAGUUCCAUACCUCCAACCCAAGACCUUAAUACAUCUAAUGCUCCCAUCAGUCACAACUUGUUAGAAGGGGAUCUGGGUUCAGUAUUUGGGGCCGGAGGGUACAUUGGCUGCCCUGAUGUGGCUGAUGAUCUAGAGCCUCUGGAAAGAAGGCAGGCAUGCCCGGUACCUGAACCUGUUCGACCAAUUCGACCAGUGAGGCCUCCACGGCCUUCACUCAGGGCCAAGGAGCCGGGUCAGUCCCAGACUCAGAACAUCGAUUUGAAGUGA
This 1404-nucleotide long non-coding RNA is filed under the name Takifugu rubripes (torafugu). RNAcentral's name for it is "lncRNA (ENSTRUG00000026418.1)". Lineage: Eukaryota; Metazoa; Chordata; Actinopteri; Tetraodontiformes; Tetraodontidae. The record is from RNAcentral.